Patella vulgata (common limpet) is the source of this 5837-nucleotide RNA transcript. It is a transcript of the gene named CUGBP Elav-like family member 3-B, with no coding region annotated. The record is from RefSeq and is a predicted model, not a curated record. The transcript is spliced from 14 exons. Lineage: Eukaryota; Metazoa; Mollusca; Gastropoda; Patellidae.
GAUAUGUCAUGUCUCGUGCGCCAGGCUCUAGAGAAAUUGAUUACUAGACUCUGGAAUGCUGGGAUGUUAUUACCUAUGUAAAUCAGAUGCAGAAGCGCAAAAUUCAUUUUCUAUGAGAGACGAUUCCAAGAUGGCGACCACUGUUCAGAACGGAGUUAUAUCAGACCUAUUAAUGGUAAACGGUGGACCGAAUAUGCUCCAAAUGAACCACAUCCCAAUGAAAGAAAAUGAUGCCAUCAAGUUAUUCGUUGGUCAAAUUCCUCGGAACCUCGAAGAAAAAGACCUGAGACCCGUAUUCGAAGAAUUUGGACAAAUAUAUGAGUUGACAGUUCUUAAAGAUCGAUUCACAGGAAUGCAUAAAGGUUGUGCUUUUCUAACCUACUGUUCUAGAGAAAGUGCUAUUAAAGCUCAACAGUCGUUACAUGAACAGAAAACAUUACCAGGGAUGAACCGUCCAAUACAAGUUAAACCAGCUGAUAGUGAAAGUAGAUCUGAGGAUAGAAAGUUGUUUAUCGGUAUGCUUAAUAAACAACAGUCAGAAGAUGAUGUGAGACAAUUAUUAUCUCCCUUUGGAGGUAUAGAGGAGUGUACAAUAUUACGAGAUCAAAACGGAAACAGUAAAGGUUGUGCAUUUGUUAAGUUCUCAUCACAUUUGGAAGCUCUUUCAGCUGUCAAUGCUUUACAUGGAAGUCAGACAAUGGCACAGGGAGCGUCAUCAAGCCUUGUAGUAAAAUUUGCUGAUACAGAAAAAGAACGACAGCUACGCAGAAUGCAUCAAAUGGCUGGACCUCUUGGACUUCUUAACCCGUACACACUCCAUCAAAUUGGUACAUAUGGACCUUAUGCUCAAGUCCCUUCCACACAAUUGAUGCAGCAACAAGCUGCUUUAAUGGCUGCUGCACAAGGAACAUAUUUAGCUAGCCCGGUGAAUGUACUAGCCACCCAGAUGCAGCAGAUAGGAGGUAUUCCUGGUCCAAAUGGUAUUGCCACUGCCGCCAUUACCCCAACAACCGCUACAUUAGCCAAUGGAACAGUCACUCCAACUAUUAACGGUGCUCCCCCAAAUGUCCUUUCCCCAACAGCUCUGGCAAGCUUUUCAAUGUCACAAGCCAAUGGUCAUCAGACCCCAGACCUGUAUGCUAAUGGUGUUGCACACUACCCAGGUAUGAUCAAAGCAGCUACAGCUCAGGCUAUUACUAAUGGUGAUCCAUUACAACAGUAUGCUGCUAUACAACCAUACGCUGGUAUUGCUGCAGCCUAUCCAGCUGUCUAUGGACAAUAUCAACAAGCCAUUACACAACAAGCAGUGACACAAGCUGCUCUACUACCAACUGCUCAGAAAGAGGGUAAGGCGCUUUCAAUACCAGGAUUAAGCAGCAAGGCCAUAAAGCUUUUAAAAGAAAAUGAUUUAAUACGCAGAUUAUUUAAGGGACCAGAGGGAUGUAAUUUAUUUAUUUACCAUCUUCCCCAGGAAUUUGGGGAUGCUGAACUUGCUCAGAUGUUCAUGCCUUUUGGUUCAGUUAUUAGCGCCAAAGUUUAUGUUGAUAGGGCUACAAACCAAAGCAAAUGUUUCGGUUUUGUGAGUUUUGACAAUCCAGCCAGCGCCCAUUCAGCCAUCCAGGCAAUGAAUGGUUUCCAAAUUGGCAUGAAGCGACUUAAAGUUCAACUUAAAAGACCAAAGGAUUUUAAUCGACCUUAUUAAAAUAGAUGACCUCUACAAGACCUCUCUAAAUCAUCACAGAGAGAAACCCGUUGCUAAUAGCAACUCAAGAUAGGCAGCUAACUUUGCAGUCCCGAAAAAGGACAGCCAAUGCCAAAAAUUGGAGACUUAGAUAUACAUGGUUUUAUAUUGUUAACUGGGAUCGAAGAGAAAACGGUGAAGUUUUGCUGCCAUGUACAGAGAGAAAUAUAACCCACAAAUGAUAAUGAAAUGAACCCACCGUUAAUGGUCACAUUCAACGGAUAUAUAAUCACAUGUAUAUAGCUUUGAACAUUGAAUUUUGAAUAAAUUAUUAAUGUAUAUUUAUUUAAUUAAAUGUAGCGACUGCAGUACAAUAUUUAUUUGUAUAGUUCUAUUAGAAAUAUACAUGAUAUGACAUAGUAUUGUUAUUAACUCCAAGAGUUUUAUUUCAAUAAUUUAACUAAGAGUGACAACAUGUUUGUACAAAAUAGCCAAAAAUAGAAAAAGAAGUAAAGAGAAGAUUUAUUUUACAAUUUUUUUUGAACAUUCCAGAAAUGAAACUUGUAUAGCUUUUCUUUAAGCACCCCUUUUUUAGCACACUCCUUUUCAUUAUUAACUAAUGCCUGUGUUAAAUAUGGGUUAAUGUAAUAUUUUAAUUGUUCUAUAUUUUAUAAGCUUUGGUUUAUACACCUAACCAUAGAUCAUAAAGAGAAUACCAUGACAACUAUAUGUAAAAUAACGUGUAUAUUUUCUAUUAAAUUAAUUUAUUCUCUUCACAGAAACUAUUAGUACAGUUAAAUUGGUCACUACAUAAUUUGAUAUUUAGCCAAAAUCUUGUGGUUUUCUUUUGUUUUUUUUUCCUCCUAACAGCAGAUAAUCAAAUUUGUUAAAAUAUUUAUUUAAAAAAAAUCAUAAAUCAUUCCCGAGCCAUUUCAUUUUAAACAUACAUCAAUAUAGUGUUAUCACUUCAGAAAUUUCAUGGUUUUUUCAUGGCUUAAAAAAUCAUGGCUCUAUUAUUUUUAUGUGUGAGCAUAUUAAAUCUCAUCUGUUACUCUAUUUAAUUUUUGCCCUUCGGAUGUGUUUAUUUGAAAAUCAUCUACACUGGAGUUGUGUAGCUAACACACAGAGAAUUCAUCAGGAAUGCAAAAAUUAAACAACUUCAAAAUGAACCACAUCUGUUAAGUUUUAUAGAACUAAACUAUUUGUACUAUAUUUGUCAGCCAUUUUGGUUGUUGCAUUUUUCAUAUCGCUUCUUAUUGUUCCUUAACAAAAUAUUUCCCUUUUUUGAUCAAAUUCUGAUCAUUUGUUGACUUAAAACAAAGAUUUAUAUCAAAAUGAUGUAAUAUAUUUUGAAUGAAUUGAAUGACUUGUAAAUUGUUAAUUAGUCAAUUAUUAUUAUUAUUAUUUUUUUGCUUUAUCUAAAGAUUUAAAACAGUGCUGAGCUGAACAAGGGUGAAACAAUGGUAGUUUGAUGGUGAUGUAAUUUGAUUAGUAACGAUAAUUUGAACGAAGUUGUGUUAUGUACUUAAAUCAAAAACUGUUCGAUUAAACCUAGAGUUGGUAUCAAUCAGCAUUGUUUUAAAUAUUAUUAUGUUUAUACUUUUUAGAAAUAUUAUGUAGGUUGUACAAAGAAUUCAGUUUUAGGAUGAGAACAGUAACAUUGUAUCCUUUUCUAAAACUGAAUUGUUUAAAUGAAUAUACAUAUAUAUGGAUUGUAAGAUAUGAUGUUUAAUUUAUUAUUACAUUAGAUAUAGGUAUUUAUUUUAGAAAAAAAGACAUUGAUAUUUCUUUUUACGUGACAUUGUUGGAUAAGCCAAACUUCUUUCAAGAAUAGAGAUGUCUAUACGUUUCAUUGAUGAUAACAAGUGAACAGUUGAUUGCGUUUUUAAUCUUAUUAAUUGAAACCUGUUUUAGAGGAUAUUAAAGCUGUUUUUGUUUUAGUAAACCUAUUAAGCUUUUAACAUAAGCUACCUCUUAGUUAAAGUUUGUUUGAUUUUAAAGAUCACUGGUUUUUAAUUAUUGCGUUAUAUAUAUUAUAUAUCAUAUUUGAAAUAUAGUAUCAAUGUUAAACCUGUAAAUUAUUCAAGGUGUUAUGUCCCCAUAUUGUAAUCUCAAUCUCAGCGUAACCUUCAAACUAAUUGACAGUUGAAAUCUAAAGUGAAAUCCAGCUAUGUAAAAGUGCUAUAAAGGAAAUCCUUCAAAAUUAAUCGGUGCAAAAGAUUUGAAAUAUGUGGCCACUUUCUUUUAUUAUAUAUUGUUGGAAAUUGAGUGGAUUUGUUUUCUUUCAUUGUAUUUUAGAGAACAAACCAAAUAUAAGUUGUUAGACAAUGGACUUUGUUUUUAUCCACAUAAGGACACUAUAUUGUUUUGAAAGGACCUUUUAUGAUCUUUUCUAGUCAUGUUAUUACUUGUGUUUUAUUGUUUUAGCUAUUUAUUGAGGACACAUUUGUGCAAUAUCAACUUGUGUAUUUAUCAUAUCAUUGGGAGGAUUGAAAUCUCAAUCUAGCUGAACAGGGCAGAUGACAGAAAGCUGGCAGACAGCAAACUUCUGAUCUCUACUUGUUCUGGCUAGUACUAAAUGAUCCUUGGUCUCAGAGGUCACAAUUUUGAGUACAAUUUUUAUUUUAUGAUUGUAUAAUGUGCUCAACAUUGGGAGGAUGUUAGUAUUAAGAAUUUAUUAUUUAUUAUUUCAUUUUUUGACAUUUUGAGUCACUAUAAAAUAUAUUAUAUUUUAGCUCAUAGUUUUUAGAUUUUAAGUGCACUGUAGUAUAUUCUAGCACCUAAUUCUAGCCUUUUGCACAUAUAGUAGCUGUAGAUUAGAUCUUUUUCAAAUUAUAUUAUUGCAAGGUGUAUACCAUAAAUGCUCAAUAUAUACUGUCAUUUUUGCAUAAAUGAACAAGUUUCAUGUAUAAUAUUAAUUUUGUAUGGGGGGUUAGUUCAUCUUAGAGAUCGUUCCUUCAGCACAGUUUAUCCAAUAUUUUAUUUAUAAGUUAGGACAGCAACAAAACAAAGAUAUUAAUAGGGGACUAAAAAGUCAGACAAAGGAAUUUUAGCUUCAUGUGUAUUUUUGAAUCCGAAAUGAUGUGAAUCUAAUUUUCCUUUCUCAAGACCGAAUGCUAGAAUUUUAUUACACAAAAGUGCCAGAAGGAACUUGAGCUCAUGGAUGAUAACCUCGACUCAGCGAUGUUUGAUGCGUGGAAACAAAACAAAGAAAUGUGUGAAUUUGUAUAUAUUGGUGAUUUUAUCUAUCUUUGAAAUGAAUAAGAGUUAUGUGAGAGAGAAAAUUAUAUGUCCAAUUUUUGAAACAGAACAAGAUCUAUUUUUAUAAGAGCCUAUUUUUUCAAACAGAGACUCCCUGACUUGGUGUACAUUUACUUUCCAAGCUGUCAAUGUUCAUUAUUAUACACGUACAUUGUAAUUAUAUAUCUUCACAUUAAUGUUGUGGUGAUGUUAACUGUUAUGUAAUUUGUAAUCACCCAAAUGGUUGUCAUUUUGUGAGGUGUUAGUAAACAAAUUUUUGACUGGACUUUCUUGCGGAACCAUGCAGUGAUAUAUUAUUAUGAAAAAAAUUAACAAAGAAUAUUUAAUAAGAAAGAUUUUAUUAUAAAUACUAUUUAUUGUUCCUCAUAAGAAAGGAGAUUUUUUUACAUCAUAUAUUUAUUUUUAUACACAUAAAUAUUGUAUUGGAAUCAUACUUUUAUGUUAUUAUUUUAUAUUUUAUUAUAAGUAGGGUAAUCUGUAUGUUCAGUGUUGGUCAAAUAGUCCUUUUCUGUGGUAUUUUUGAGAAAAUAGUACGGUAGCAUCAGUGUCGUGAAAUUAUCUAUUAUUAAACUAGUUUUUUAUCUAUCUAUAUAUAUUAUGUGGUAUCGCAAGAAAGUCUACAGGAUUAUUGAAUAUUGUGGUCACAUGACUGAAAUGAGUGGUCUGAGAGCUAGUUUCCACGGCAUUGAAUAUCGUUUGAGAUAUGAGCAUAAGUAAAAUAUUUUACCUCUAUUAUUAUAUAAAUAUAGAUUUAGGAACCAGCAUAACAUAUAUAUAUUUACCCAUUUAUGCUGGUCAUAGGGGAAGCUUGUACAAAUUUAUAAAUGAUAUCUGCAGAUCUUUACAAAUUAUCGAUUAUUUACUCUUUCGAAAAUAAAUGCAUUACGCAAAAUUA